GCCUCAGUGCAUCCACUUUGUCCAGAAUUAUGGUUGUUUCAUUUAGAUUGAUGUUUAAAAGUGAAAUUAACAGGUCAAAAAGUAGGACCACUUUAAAAGUACUUGAUACUCAAUGCUUGACAGAGUGAGUUUCCAUCCGAGCCAGCAGUGGGUGGCAGCCUGGGACUCAUAAACCCCAACAGGACUUGUGUGCUGGCCUGGUUCAUCUGAGGAGCAAAAAACCAGUGGUGUUUUGGUUUAUAUUUCUUUGAUUACCAAUUGAAGUUAAACAUUUUUUAUCUGUACAUUAACUUUUCUAUUCUUUAAAAAACACUCUUUUUAAACUCUUGAAGUCUAGUGUAUUCCUAACAACUUAGAAGGGAUCUUUGUAUAUUAAGGCUAUCAACCCUUUCUCCAUUAUAUUUGUUGAAAAUGUUUUCCUAAUUAGUUGUUGACUUUUCAUUUCUCGAUGUUUAGAUCCAUUUAAUUAAUUUUUAUUUAUAAUUUUAAUUUACUAUAUACUUUAUAAUAUACUGUAGAAUAAUUUAUCAUGUAAAAAUAAAUUUAGUAAUUUCAUUUACUAAUGUUAAUUUUUAAGUAGUCAAUUAUAUCUUUUAUGGGAGUUGCUGCUGUGGCUCAGUUGGGUUAAGAACCCAACUAGUAUCCACUAAGAUGCAGGUUUGAUCCUGGCCCUUGCUCAUGGGUUAAGGAUCCAGUGUUGCUGUGAACUGUGCUAUAGGUUGCAGACCUGGCUUGGAUCCCACGUGGCUGUGGCUGUGGCUGUGGCCAGCAGCUCUGAUUGACCCCUAACCUGGGAACUUCAAUAUGUCCAGCCCUAAAAAGCAAACAAACAAACAAAAACAAAUCAAAACAAAAAAGCUGGAGGAAUUGGAAAGAGAAUUAAGAAAAAAAAGAAUAAUAAAGGGAAACGGGUACGGAAGGUAUUAUAAUGGAAUGAAACCUAAAUGCACUAAAGACUGACCAUCUGAAUUCAAAUAGUUUUAAGCGAUCUUUGCAAGAAGUGAUUAUGUAAGUGAAUGGAAAAGAACAGGAAUAGAGAAGAGAUAUUAUUCUUCUGGCUGAGAGAAACCAUGAAAGACUUGAACUAGGUCUCUGCAAAGGUGCUUGGUAAAGUCAAUGCAUUGCCACCACUUUUUUAAAAAACAUUUACACUUCUUUUUUUUUCAUUUUUCAAUAUUUGAUUGAAGUGUAGUCUACAAUGCUGUGUUACUUUCUGCUGUCCAUCAGAGUGAUUCAGCCAGGCCUAUAUGCAUAUCCAUACCCAGAUAGAUUGUCACAGAAUAUUGGGUAGGGUUCCCUGUGCUGUACAGCAGGAUCCAUUCCAUAUGCAAUAGUGUACAUAGGCCAAUCCCAAACCUCCCCCCCAAAAGUAUAGUUGUUGAGAAUCAAGGAGAAAGCAAGAUUAAAAUAUUGGGUGAUGGAUCUGCAUCUGUCUCACUGGCUCACUUUGGUCCACUGAGCGGGUACCUUGCAAGGGCUGUAGGCAUCAGUGUGAGAUGUUAAUCUAAUAGGCUGUUCCUUCACUGGGAUAUUCUUGGUGGACCUCUGUUGUUUCCACCAGGUGUGUUGACAUUUAGAACACUCAUCAGCAGGCAGGACAGCCCAUUGAGGACGUGAGUGAUGGAGACAGUGUGGGAUGGAGCUUUCUAGACAGGCUCUAAAACCUCAGAUCCUUGCCUGGGCAGGGCUUCAUUCCAUUCCAAGUUGCUAGGACAGAUCUGCACAUAUUCAUGAAGAGUUGCAUCUAAGUUCCCUCAGGAAGGGCUUUCUAGGUGAUUUUAAAGAUGCGCAUCAAUGACACUUCAAAAAC
RNAcentral lists this long non-coding RNA (1810 nucleotides) under Sus scrofa (pig). RNAcentral's name for it is "lncRNA (ENSSSCG00000049959.2)". Lineage: Eukaryota; Metazoa; Chordata; Mammalia; Artiodactyla; Suidae. The record is from RNAcentral.